CUCUCUCUGAUACUGAGAAACAAGGAAGGACAGUGCUAAUCCUUACCCAGGAUUGUACCAUUCCAACUGUAGUGUAUGUUGACUUUUUUUUUCUACUGAAAAACAAACCUGAUGGCAACAAGAGCAUAACAGGAGGAGUCAGGGUAGAUGGGCAAGGCUGACUGGCUAUUUAUCCUUCCCAACCUCUCCUCCACCUUCCUCCUCCGACUAUAAGUAGUGGUCCUGAGCUCCAGACCCCAGUCAGCUUGGACGCCAUCCUUUUUGCACUACAAGAUGCCUCUUCUCCAAGCAUUAGUGAGAUGCAGCAUUACUGCCUUGUUCCUGAGUCUCUGCCUACAACUAGUCACUGGGCAAGAUGAUGAUUACGAUAACCGGAAGCCACUUAUUGUGCAGAUGUCUCCAAUACAGAGAGCUAAAGCAGAUGAAGUGAGUGAAAUCAGGUGUAAUGUUUCAACUCAACUGAGAGAAUGCAUGCCGAUAAAGUUCUAUAUUUUGACCAGCACAAAAGCGGACUGUUCUCCCUUUAAUGAAUAUGAAGCCUGUAUAUGCCCAGGUGACAAUCCAAGGAAUUUCUACUGGAACAUACGCUGCAAAAGUAGUAUAAAUGUAGCCUGUGUGGCUGAUGCUACUGAGGAUGCUAACGUCUGUGAUCCAUACAUCAGUGUUAAGGUCACUUAACAUCUCAAGGAUGCCAGUCCAGCUCUGAAUUUUUGCGAGGAAGAAAGGAGAUAACAUACGUAAAGUACUUUGUAAGCCUGCCAUGUACAUGAUAGCUCCUAUUAUUUUCAUUAUCAUUAUCUACUCAGGAAUUAAUUUACUUCCAAAGAACUAUUCUGCUUCUCAUAGGUACAUUCAAUUAAAUAUGAAUCCAGAUAGAGGAAUUUUACAUAUCCAGUAGCACGAUAGGUGCCAACCAAACAUCACGACUAAAUUUAAAUCCUGUGAAAACUGAAAACACCUGAUCUACUUUUUCAACCUUACAUUUUUGGCUUGCCACUAUAGCUAUUGCACAGAAAACCACUAAGCACUUUCCUUGAUAAACUCUUAAGAUGAUCCACCCAUACAAAGCCAUUUUGGGGAAGGAUGACAGCCUGGAUGGAUGUGGGGAACUGUUGCUUGCCUCAUUCACUUUGGACCCAAAUGCUCUAGUCUUUAAUAAUCAUGACUUUUACCUUCAAAAGCCCAAAUCUGACCAACUUCUAACUCAACAAGCUUCCUUCCACCAAUGGUUUGAUGGGGAUGAGAGUUGGGAGAAGGCGUUAUUUCUAUAAACUGAAAAUUAAUUGGACAAAAUAAUCGUUCAUCUCUUUUUAUGCUGGAGCUUUAGGUUUCAGCAAAUUCAUUUGCCCCAAUUCCCUCAUUUUACACAUGAGAAAAUUGGGUCCUGAGAGUAAAUAAUUUAUGCAACCUCCCACAGAAAGUGAAUAGCAAAGCUAGAACUUUAACCCAGGUCUCCUGUUCUUUCAAGAAAUGAUCUAUAUGCUUCCCAAUUCAGUAAGCUUUUAUUGACAAUUCUGCCUAGCACCCAUUUUCUCACACACAACCUCAGGCAAACAAAACAUUUGUUGCCUCUAUGCCCACUCCUGCUUUGGCAAGACAUUUGGUGCCUUAUGCAAAUGAACAAGAUAAGUGCCUAUACCUUGGCCAACAAGAGGCAAUAUUGACAAGUAAUAUUGAC
Molecule: long non-coding RNA, 1678 nt
Organism: Phascolarctos cinereus (koala)
Lineage: Eukaryota; Metazoa; Chordata; Mammalia; Diprotodontia; Phascolarctidae
Source: Ensembl